GGCCGGAUAGCUCAGUUGGUUGGAGCAUUGUUCUGAUACACCAAGGUUGCGGGUUUGAUCCCUGGUCAGGGCA
This 73-nucleotide transfer RNA is filed under the name Myotis davidii. It matches the Rfam family "tRNA". Rfam says of the family: Transfer RNA (tRNA) molecules are approximately 80 nucleotides in length. The record is from Rfam by way of RNAcentral. Lineage: Eukaryota; Metazoa; Chordata; Mammalia; Chiroptera; Vespertilionidae.